UCUCUCGUCGGAGGCGAAAUCGUUUUUCGACGGGUUGCGCCCUUUUUUCGUCGGAUUGCAAGAUUUUACUUUGAAUAAAUUAGAGCGUUCAAAGCAGGCGAAAUCGUCUUGAAUACGUUAGCAUGGGAUAAUAGAAUAGGACCGUAAGAAUUUUUUUCGGUUUAACGUUUACUGGUUUCUAAAGCCGAGGUAAUGAUUAAUAGGGACAGUUGGGGUCGCUCGUACUCGGCGGUCAGAGGUGAAAUUCUAAGACCCGCCGAAGACGAACAAGUGCGAAGGCAUUCGACAAGGAUGUUUUCUUUAAUCAAGAACGAAAGGUAUGGGAUCGAAGAUGAUCAGAUACCGUCGUAGUCAUAACCGUAAACUAUGUUGACUCGGGAUCCGAAGAAGUUACAUGGAUGACUCUUCGGGCACCGUGUGCGAAAGCACAAGUAUUCGAACUCCGGGGGGAGUAUGGUCGCAAGGCUGAAACUUAAAGGAAUUGACGGAAGGGCACCACCAGGUGUGGAACCUGCGGCUUAAUUUGACCCAACACGGGGAAACUUACCCAGUCCGGACGCUACGAGGAUUGACAGAUUGAUAGUUCUUUCUUGAUUUUGUGGAAGCCGGUGCAUGGCCGUUUUUAGUUGGUGGAGUGAUUUGUCUGGUUAAGUCCGAUAACGAACGAGACCUAAUUUUGUUAAAUAGUACAGCCAACAAGGGGGUCGCCGGUCGUUUCGGUCGCGGGUUUUCGCCCGCGCUCGUGCGAUCGGGGCCUCCGCUCGUUUGUUGGUAGCUAGAUUUACUUCUUAGAGAGACUCUUGGUCGAUAACAGCAGCCAAUGGAGGCUUUAGGCAAAAACAGGUCUGUGAUGCCGCUAGAUGUCUGGGGCUGCACGCGCGCUACACUGACGUGUUCAACGAGUAUUUUAGAAUUACCUGGCCCGAGGGGGUUUCCGGCAAUCUCUAAAAGCACGUCGUGAUGGGGAUCGUGCCUUGUAACUAUUGCACGUGAACGAGGAAUACCUAGUAAGGGCAAGUCAUCAACUUGCCCUGACUACGUCCCUGCCCUUUGUACACACCGCCCGUCGCUUCUACCGAUCGAACUACUCGAUGAGGACUCGGGAUGCGGAGCGAUGUCUCGGUUCUGCCGAGCGCGUUUCGCAGAACCUGU
Molecule: ribosomal RNA, 1152 nt
Filed under: metagenome
Description: bacterial SSU rRNA
Rfam family: Eukaryotic small subunit ribosomal RNA
Source: RNAcentral